RNAcentral lists this long non-coding RNA (317 nucleotides) under Apteryx rowi (Okarito brown kiwi). Its description in RNAcentral is "lncRNA (ENSARWG00000011550.1)". The record is from RNAcentral. Lineage: Eukaryota; Metazoa; Chordata; Aves; Apterygiformes; Apterygidae.
AAUGAAACGUGUUCAGAUCUUAAAGGAGAGUUUUCAGCACCUGUACAUCUACAAAUAUGACCGAAGUCCUGUUAUGUGUACAGCUGGAACCUUGUCUACAUACCAAGGUGCUUCCCUAUAAGCAAGCACAGGGGUAAGAACAAACUUCAUGGGCUCAACUAGAUUAGAUAACUAGAUUUGUCAGGUGCACUCAAUAGUAGUAAGGAGUUGAAGAGGAAUUCACUAAAGCUUAAAGAUGAUCAGAUAUGACUGAAAGUAAUGCUUCUGUCUUCUGCAGUGCUAAACAUCCUUAUGGAUAACUUCUAGGUACAGAUCCA